AUGUACAAUGUUAUUUUGGAAUGUGUCAGUUAUGUUCAAAAAGGUGCCAAUGAGGAAUCGACCGGGAUUUCUAGAUAUAGUACUCAAAAGAAUCGCCACAAUACACCAAAACAAUUACAAUUCAAAUUUUGUUGUUGUUGUUGUUGUUGUUGCUGCUGCUGCUGUCGCAGUGCUUGUCAAUCAUUUCAUCCCCUACAAUAUCGACAUGUUCAUAAGUUUUGGCUCUGUUUGCUAAUAUAA
Molecule: ribosomal RNA, 240 nt
Filed under: Triticum aestivum (bread wheat)
Lineage: Eukaryota; Viridiplantae; Streptophyta; Magnoliopsida; Poales; Poaceae
Description: partial small subunit ribosomal RNA
Source: RNAcentral